CCUACGGGUGGCAGCAGUGAGGAAUAUUGCUCAAUGGCCGGAAGGCUGAACCAGCCAUGCCGCGUGAAGGUCAGUGCCUUAUGGGCGUUAAACUCCUUUUGUGCGGGAGCAAUAUUGGUCACGUGUGGCCAGACGAGAGUACCGUACGAAUAAGCAUCGGCUAACUCCGUGCAAGCAGCCGCGCUAAUACGGGGGAUGCAAGCGUUAUCCGGAGUGAAUGGGUUGAAAGGGUGCGUAGGCUGUGCGGUAAGUCAGCGGUGAAAUGCCCCCGCUCAACGGGGUGAAGUGCCAUUGAUACUGCCAUGCUAGAAUGCGGAUGCCGUGGGAGGAAUGUGUGGUGUAGCGGUGAAAUGCGUAGAUAUCA
Molecule: ribosomal RNA, 364 nt
Filed under: uncultured bacterium
Lineage: Bacteria
Description: partial 16S ribosomal RNA
Rfam family: Bacterial small subunit ribosomal RNA
Source: RNAcentral